This 460-nucleotide ribosomal RNA is filed under the name uncultured bacterium. RNAcentral's name for it is "partial 16S ribosomal RNA". It matches the Rfam family "Bacterial small subunit ribosomal RNA", at positions 338 to 795 of the family's 1533-position model. The record is from RNAcentral.
CCUACGGGAGGCAGCAGUGAGGAAUAUUGGUCAAUGGACGCAAGUCUGAACCAGCCAUGCCGCGUGCAGGAUGACGGCUCUAUGAGUUGUCAACUGCUUUUGUACGAGGGUAAACCCCGAUACGUGUAUCGGGUUGAAAGUAUCGUACGAAGAAGGAUCGGAUAACUCCGUGCCAGUAGCCGCGGUAAUAAGGAGGAUCCGAGCGUUAUCCGGAUGUAUUGGGGUUAAAGGGUGCGUAGGCGGUUUGAUAAGUUAGAGGUGAAAUGUCGGGGCUCAACACCGAAGCUGCCGCUAUUACUGUUGGACGAGCGAAUAGUUGCGGUAGGCGGAAUGUAUGGUGUAGCGGUGAAAUGCUUAGAGAUAAUACAGAACACCGAUUGCGAAGGCAGCUUACCAAACUAUAUCUGACGUUGAGGCACGAAAGCGUGGGUAGCAAACAGGAUUAGAUACCCUUGUAGUC